RNAcentral lists this ribosomal RNA (498 nucleotides) under uncultured bacterium. RNAcentral's name for it is "partial 16S ribosomal RNA". It matches the Rfam family "Bacterial small subunit ribosomal RNA", at positions 28 to 523 of the family's 1533-position model. The record is from RNAcentral.
GAUGAACGCCAGCGGCAGGCCUAAUACAUGCAAGUCGGACGGGAUUUGGGAGCUUGCUCCUAAUGAGAGUGGCGCACGGGUGCGUAACACGUAUGUAACCUACCUUAAUCAGGGGGAUAGCCUCUCGAAAGAGAGAUUAACACCGCAUAAUAUAUUUUUAUGGCAUCGUAGAAAUAUCAAAUAUUUAUAGGAUUAAGAUGGGCAUGCGGAACAUUAGCUAGUUGGUAAGGUAACGGCUUACCAAGGCUACGAUGUUUAGGGGAUCUGAGAGGAGGACCCCCCACACUGGUACUGAGACACGGACCAGACUCCUACGGGAGGCAGCAGUAAGGAAUAUUGGUCAAUGGGCGCAAGCCUGAACCAGCCAUGCCGCGUGCAGGAAGACGGCCCUAUGGGUUGUAAACUGCUUUUGUACCGGAAUAAACCCUUUUACGUGUAAGAGGCUGAAUGUACGGUAAGAAUAAGGAUCGGCUAACUCCGUGCCAGCCGCCGCGGUAA